Molecule: ribosomal RNA, 497 nt
Filed under: uncultured bacterium
Lineage: Bacteria
Description: partial 16S ribosomal RNA
Rfam family: Bacterial small subunit ribosomal RNA
Source: RNAcentral
GAUGAACGCUGGCGGCGUGCCUAAUACAUGCAAGUCGAGCGAACAGACGAGGAGCUUGCUCCUCUGACGUUAGCGGCGGACGGGUGAGUAACACGUGGAUAACCUACCUAUAAGACUGGGAUAACUUCGGGAAACCGGAGCUAAUACCGGAUAAUAUAUUGAACCUCAUGGUUCAAUAGUGGAAGACGGUUUUGCUGUCACUUAUAGAUGGAUCCGCGCCGCAUUAGCUAGUUGGUAAGGUAACGGCUUACCAAGGCAACGAUGCGUAGCCGACCUGAGAGGGUGAUCGGCCACACUGGAACUGCGACACGGUCCAGACUCCUACGGGAGGCAGCAGUAGGGAAUCUUCCGCAAUGCGCGAAAGCCUGACGGAGCAACGCCGCGUGAGUGAUGAAGGUCUUCGGAUCGUAAAACUCUGUUAUUAGGGAAGAACAAAUGUGUAAGUAACUAUGCACGUAUUGACGGUACCUAAUCAGAAAGCCACGGCUAACUACGUG